GCCACAUUAAAACACCGAUUCCCGUACGGUCAGCGAAGGUAAGCAAUAGCGAGUCUGGCAAGUACUUAGAUGGGUGACGGUUUGGGAAUAUCAGGCGA
Acanthosepion pharaonis is the source of this 98-nucleotide non-coding RNA. The record is from the annotation of a GenBank genome assembly. Lineage: Eukaryota; Metazoa; Mollusca; Cephalopoda; Sepiida; Sepiidae.